Molecule: ribosomal RNA, 440 nt
Filed under: uncultured bacterium
Lineage: Bacteria
Description: partial 16S ribosomal RNA
Rfam family: Bacterial small subunit ribosomal RNA
Source: RNAcentral
CCUACGGGAGGCAGCAGUGGGGGAUAUUGCACAAUGGGGGAAACCCUGAUGCAGCGACGCCGCGUGGGUGAAGAAGCGCCUCGGCGCGUAAAGCCCUUUCAGCAGGGAGGAAAAUGACGGUACCUGAAGAAGAAGCCCCGGCUAACUACGGGCCAGCAGCCGCGGUAAUACGUAGGGGGCAAGCGUUAUCCGGAUGUACUGGGGGUAAGGGGGGCGCAGACGGCGAUGCAAGCCACGAGUGAAAGCCCGGGGCCCAACCCCGGGACUGCACUUGGAACUGGGUGGCUAGAGUGCAGGAGGGGCAGGCGGAAUUCCUGGUGUAGCGGUGAAAUGCGUAGAUAUCAGGAGGAACACCGGUGGCGAAGGCGGCCUGCUGGACUGCAACUGACGUUGAGGUCCGAAAGCGUGGGGAGCAAACAGGAUUAGAUACCCUUGUAGUC